GAUGAACGCUGGCGGCGUGCCUAAUACAUGCAAGUCGAGCGAACAGACGAGGAGCUUGCGCCCCUGACGUUAGCGGCGGACGGGUGAGUAACACGUGGAUCACCUACUUAUAUGUCGGGGAUAACUACGGAAAACCGGAGCUAAUAGCAGAUAAUAUAUUGAACCGCAUGGUGCAAUAGUGAAAGACGGCUUUGGUGUCACGAAUAGAUGGAUCCGCGCCGCAUUAGCUAGUUGGUAAGGUAACGGCUUACCAAGGCGACGAUGCGUAGCCGACCUGAGAGGGUGAUCGGCCACACUGGAACUGAGACACGGUCCAGACUCCUACGGGAGGCAGCAGUCGGGAAUCUUCGGCAAUGGGCGAAAGCCUGACGCAGCAACGCCGCGUGAGUGAUGAAGGUCUUCGGAUCGUAAAGCUCUGUUAUUGGGGAAGAACAGCUGUGUAAUUAACUAUGCACGUCUUGACGGUACCUAAUCAAAAAGCACCGGCUAACUACGUG
This 497-nucleotide ribosomal RNA is filed under the name uncultured bacterium. RNAcentral describes it as "partial 16S ribosomal RNA". It matches the Rfam family "Bacterial small subunit ribosomal RNA", at positions 28 to 507 of the family's 1533-position model. The record is from RNAcentral.